UACGGGGGGGGCAAGCGUUGUUCGGAAUUACUGGGCGUAAAGGGCUCGUAGGUGGCCAACUAAGUCAGACGUGAAAUCCCUCAGCUUAACCGGGGAACUGCGUCUGAUACUGGAUGGCUUGAGUUUGGGAGAGGGAUGCGGAAUUCCAGGUGUAGCGGUGAAAUGCGUAGAUAUCUGGAGGAACACCGGUGGCGAAGGCGGCAUCCUGGACCAACACUGACACUGAGGAGCGAAAGCCAGGGGAGCAAACGGG
Molecule: ribosomal RNA, 253 nt
Filed under: uncultured bacterium
Lineage: Bacteria
Description: partial 16S ribosomal RNA
Rfam family: Bacterial small subunit ribosomal RNA
Source: RNAcentral